Molecule: ribosomal RNA, 329 nt
Filed under: uncultured bacterium
Lineage: Bacteria
Description: bacterial SSU rRNA
Rfam family: Bacterial small subunit ribosomal RNA
Source: RNAcentral
UGUCGUCAGCUCGUGUCGUGAGAUGUUGGGUUAAGUCCCGCAACGAGCGCAACCCUUGCUCUUAGUUGCCAGCACGAAAGGUGGGCACUCUAAGAGGACUGCCGGUGACAAACCGGAGGAAGGUGGGGAUGACGUCAAAUCAUCAUGCCCUUUAUGCUCUGGGCUACACACGUGCUACAAUGGCCGGUACAGAGGGCAGCGAAGGGGCGACCCGGAGCCAAUCCCACAAAGCCGGCCCAAGUUCGGAUUGCAGGCUGCAAUUCGCCUACAUGAAGUCGGAAUCGCUAGUAAUCGCGGAUCAGCAUGCCGCGGUGAAUACGUUCCCGGGA